RNAcentral lists this ribosomal RNA (253 nucleotides) under uncultured bacterium. RNAcentral describes it as "partial 16S ribosomal RNA". It matches the Rfam family "Bacterial small subunit ribosomal RNA", at positions 524 to 776 of the family's 1533-position model. The record is from RNAcentral.
UACGGAGGGGGUUAGCGUUGUUCGGAAUUACUGGGCGUAAAGCGUACGUAGGCGGGCUAGUAAGUAAGAGGUGAAAUCCCAGGGCUCAACCCUGGAACUGCCUUUUAAACUGCUAGUCUUGAGAUCGAGAGAGGUGAGUGGAAUUCCAAGUGUAGAGGUGAAAUUCGUAGAUAUUUGGAGGAACACCAGUGGCGAAGGCGGCUCACUGGCUCGAUACUGACGCUGAGGUACGAAAGUGUGGGGAGCAAACAGG